CCGACUCUGUUGCCUCCGGGGCGACCCUGCCUCCGGGCGGGGGCCCCGGGUGGACAUUUCGAACUCUUGCCUAACUUUGCAGUCUGAGUAAAUUUAAUUAAUAAAUUAAAACUUUCAACAACGGAUCUCUUGGUUCUGGCAUCGAUGAAGAACGCAGCGAAGUGCGAUAAGUAAUGUGAAUUGCAGAAUUCAGUGAAUCAUCGAAUCUUUGAACGCACAUUGCGCCCCCUGGUAUUCCGGGGGGCAUGCCUGUUCGAGCGUCAUUUCACCACUCAAGCCUCGCUUGGUAUUGGGCGACGCGGUCCGCCGCGCGCCUCAAAUCGACCGGCUGGGUCUUUCGUCCCCUCAGCGUUGUGGAAACUAUUCGCUAAAGGGUGCCGCGGGAGGCCACGCCGUAAAACAACCCCAUUUCUAAGGUUGACCUCGGAUCAGGUAGGGAUACCCGCUGAACUUAAGCAUAUCAAUAA
RNAcentral lists this unclassified non-coding RNA (467 nucleotides) under Cladosporium halotolerans. RNAcentral's name for it is "sequence contains ITS1, 5.8S rRNA gene and ITS2". The stretch from base 110 to 263 matches the Rfam family "5.8S ribosomal RNA". Lineage: Eukaryota; Fungi; Ascomycota; Dothideomycetes; Cladosporiales; Cladosporiaceae. The record is from RNAcentral.